RNAcentral lists this ribosomal RNA (469 nucleotides) under uncultured bacterium. RNAcentral's name for it is "partial 16S ribosomal RNA". It matches the Rfam family "Bacterial small subunit ribosomal RNA", at positions 28 to 508 of the family's 1533-position model. The record is from RNAcentral.
GACGAACGCUGGCGGCGUGCUUAACACAUGCAAGUCGAACGGAAAGGCCCUGCUUUUGUGGGGUGCUCGAGUGGCGAACGGGUGAGUAACACGUGAGUAACCUGCCCUUGACUUUGGGAUAACUUCAGGAAACUGGGGCUAAUACCGGAUAGGAACUCCUGCUGCAUGGUGGGGGUUGGAAAGUUUCGGCGGUUGGGGAUGGACUCGCGGCUUAUCAGCUUGUUGGGGGGGUAGUGGCCUACCAAGGCUUUGACGGGUAGCCGGCCAGAGAGGGUGACCGGCCACACUGGGACUGAGAGACGGCCGCGGCGCCGACGGGAGGCAGCAGGGGGGAAGAUUGAACAAGGGGCGGAAGCCUGAUGCAGCAAGGCCGCGGGCGGGAUGACGGCCUUCGGGUUGAAAACCGCUUUCGCCUGUGACGAAGCGUGAGUGACGGUAAUGGGAAAAGAAGCACCGGCUAACUACGGUC